RNAcentral lists this unclassified non-coding RNA (236 nucleotides) under Hevea brasiliensis (rubber tree). Lineage: Eukaryota; Viridiplantae; Streptophyta; Magnoliopsida; Malpighiales; Euphorbiaceae. The record is from RNAcentral.
CUUUGCUGCUCUGCUUUCUCUGUAACACAGCAGAUACAUGAAUCCUCUGCGAUGGCUACAAAUAAAGUUUCAAACAAAUCAAAGAAGAAAGUGCGGUGGGAAUCACCUGAGGGAGUGCUUNNNNNNNNNNNAGCUAGAUAUGUGCUCAAAGCAUGGUGAUGUUGUUCAAGCUUUGCACUUGUAUGAUGAGGCACGAAGCAAUGGAGUCCAGCUUAACCAACACCACUACAAUGUGC